AGUUCCUUUGGAUUUAAGAGGGAUCUCUUUGAGCUCCUGUUGUCUCCUGCUAUUUGGUCCACCUGUGCCGCAUCACGUGACACAUACUAUAUACAAUAUAUAGAAGACAAAGAGCAUUACCCUUGACCUCUUAGUUGUUACCCCUCAUUUGGUGGUCCUGACCCAGAGGGCCAAACCUUGGGAGGUCCUGACAGCUUGGGUCAGGCUCAACCCGGAUAUCAGGACCCUAAACGGCUUCAGCUGGAGAGCAGGGAAUGAAACAAUUGGAGGAAAGCACUUGAGGGACUGAAAAAGGAAGAAUGAAAAGAGCAAUAAGGAGGAGCUUUUGGGCCAAAACCUCUGUGGAUGAAGCUGUUUGACUGCAGUCCGUGCAGCAGUUGCCUUGACAACCGACUCACCUUUUAAAUAAACAAUACAUUACUUAAACUAGA
This is a long non-coding RNA of Plectropomus leopardus (leopard coralgrouper), 431 nucleotides long. RefSeq lists it as uncharacterized. NCBI's taxonomy places the organism in Eukaryota, Metazoa, Chordata, Actinopteri, Perciformes, Serranidae. The record is from RefSeq and is a predicted model, not a curated record.